Molecule: long non-coding RNA, 3526 nt
Organism: Nerophis ophidion (straightnose pipefish)
Lineage: Eukaryota; Metazoa; Chordata; Actinopteri; Syngnathiformes; Syngnathidae
Exons: 6
Source: RefSeq, a predicted model, not a curated record
AGUCAGCUGGAGGCGUGUCUUAAUGAAAUUAAACAAUGGAUGUCCGCUAAUUUUUUGCAACUCAACGCCAAAAAAACUUUCACAGUAUCAUGUUAGACCCGCUCGACAUCCAUUGCUUUCCUCCUCUCCAAGGUUCUCAUAGUCAUCAUUGUCACCGACGUCCCACUGGGUGUGAGUUUUCCUUGCCCUUAUGUGGGCCUACCGAGGAUGUCGUAGUGGUUUGUGCAGCCCUUUGAGACACUAGUGAUUUAGGGCUGUAUAAGUAAACAUUGAUUGAUUGAUUGAUAUAUGUCGCACUAGAGCAGGGGUCACCAACCUUUUUGAAACCAAGAGCUACUUCUUGGGUACUGAUUAAUGUGAAGGGCUACCAGUUUGAUACACACUUAAUUAAAUUGCCAGAAAUAGCCAGUUUGCUCGAUUUACCUUUAACUCUAUGUUAUUAAUAAUAAUUAUAUUUAUCUUUGUGGAAACACUGAUCAUCUUAAUGAUUUCUCACAAUAAAUAUAUAUAGAAACAGAUAAAUAUAAAAAAAAAAAAAAGGUAGUUCUGUCUGUCAUUCCGUCGUACAUUUUUUUUCCUUCUACGGAAGGUUUUUUGUAGAGAAUAAAUGAUGGAAAAAACACUAAAUCGAACGGUUUAAAAGAGGAGAAAAUACAAUUUUGAAACAUAGUUUGUAUUCAAUUUCGAGUCUUUAAAAUUCAAAAUUCAACCAGAAAAAAAAGAAGAGAAAAACCAGCUAAUUUGACUCCUUUUGAAAAAAUUAAAAAUAGAAUUUAUGGAACAUCUUUAGUAAUUUUUCCUGAUUAAGAUUAAUUUUAGAAUUUUGAAGACAUGUUUUAAAUAGGUUAAAAUCCAAUCUGCACUUUGUUAGAAUAUAUAACAAAUUGGACCAAGCUAUAUUUCUAACAGACAAAUCAUUAUUUCUUCUAAAUUUUCCAGAACAAAAAGUUUUAAAAGAAAUUCAAAAGACUUUGAAGUAAGAUUUAAAUUUGAUUCCACAGAUUUUCUAGAUUUGCCAGAAUAAUUUUUGGGGGAAUUUUAAUCAUAAUAAGUUUGAAGAAAUAUUUCACAAAUAUUCUUCGUCGAAAAAACAGAAGCCAAAAUGAAUAAUUAAAUUAAAAUGUAUUUAUUAUUCUUUACAAUAAAAAAUAAAUGUACUUGAACAUUGAUUUAAAUUGUCAGGAAAGAAGAGGAAGGAAUUUAAAAGGUAAAAAGGUAUAUGUUUAAAAAUCCUAAAAUCAUUUUUAAGGUUGUAUUUUUUCUCUAAAAUUGUCUGAAAGUUAUAAGACGCAAAGUAAAAAAAAUGUUUUAUUUAUUUAAACAAGACCAAGUCUUUCAAAUAUUUUCUUGGAUUUUCAAUUUCUAUUUGAGUUUUGUCUCUCUUAGAAUUAAAAAUGUCGAGCAAAACGAGACCAGCUUGCUAGUAAAUAAAUACAAUUAAAAAAAUAGAGGCAGCUCACUGGUAAGUGCUGCUAUUUGAGCUAUUUUUAGAACAGGCCUACGGGCGACCUGGUGGCCGCGGGCACCACGUUGGUGACCCCUGGAAUAGAAUAUAAAUCGCAUUUUUGGGGGAAAUGUAUUUGAUAAAAAGCAACAGCAAGAAUAGACACUUAAAAGGCAAUUUAAAAUAAAUAAAGAAUAGUGAACAAUAGGCUGAAUAAAUGUAGGUUAUAUGAGGCAUAAAUAAGCAACUGCUAUGUUAACCUAACAUAUUAUGGUAAGAGUCAUUCAAAUAACUAUAACAUAUAGAACAUGCUAUACCUUUACCAAACUAUCUCUCACUCCUAAUCCAUAAAUCCCAUGAAAUAUUCUUCCUUGAUGUCGCUUUUAAACAACUCUGCCAACUCCAAAAGGUACGCGCCGGCAUGGAUUUUGCCAAAACUUAAAAGACAUUGAAUACAAUGUCCACCGCCAUUUUUCAUGCAAAUGCAAUCGGGAACAAAAAAAGAUAACAAAACAAACCACUUGACCCACUUUUUCUAAUAGUCUAGUUCAGGAUGUUGAAUUUUUAUUGAAGUGCAAAUUUUGCUCAUGUAUAUUGACAGUCCAUUUGAUUUAGAUUUACCUAUUUAGGAUAAUUAAAUUAUUGACCUUUCAAUUACAAUAGUGCAAAAAUACUAGUAAUGGAAAAUAUGUUUGAAAUGGUUACUUGCUAUAUAUUAUGAUUAUAUUCAUGCUUAAUUCAGACACAGUUAUUGUAAACUUUUCAACUAUUCUACAUUAAUAUCACCAAAUGCUUACAAUUGUGUCUGCUUUUGACUACAUGUAAUAAACUGCAGUAGGACAUGGGCAUCUGCAGUCCUCUCCAAGGUUUCUCAUUGUCAUCCCACUGGGUUGAGUUUUUCCUUGCCCUGAUGUAGGACCUGAGCCGAGGAUGUCGUUGUGGCUUGUGCAGCCCUUUGAGACACUGGUGAUUUAGGGCUAUAAAAGGUAAACAUUGAUUGACUGCAAAAGAAGCCAGCAUGGGGCCAAACGGAGUUGCGAGUGCCAGCACAAGAUGCACUGUAGUAUUUAAAAGUGUGUACACAGGUGGCGUCUGUGUGGCCCUGCUCCCUCUCUGGCAUGGACGUCUUCUCCAAGUAAGGUAAAAGUCAUGUUAUAUGUUUUCUUUUUUUAUUCUUCAUUUAUAUCUAUUUUGCAGUGUUUUCAGCAUGUAAAAAUUAAUUAUAACACGUUUUGUGUUGAUAUUUGUGGGUGUUGAAGAGAUACAUUUUUUCUUACGUUUUACUACACCUUCUUUGUUGGACCUCUCAAAUAGAUUAUUACUGUAGAUAAAGUGAGGGUACAUGAUACGGUAGCAUGGAUGCGUUAUGGAACACAAGGAGUGAUACUGUGUACCUCGAUGUGUGUAUCACUUUAAGAAAGAAAAAAAAACGUGAUUGAUACAGCUGCUGUGAAGCCUACCAGGGACAGGUCCUCCUGGAAGAAGUCAGAGUAGCGUGCAGCGUCAAAAACAACAAUGGAACUAAGAAAAAGGAAAGGUUGCUGAUAAGGGAUCGUCACUUCCGGUGCACGUCGGCAGAUGACACGUCAUCAUACGGACGUCGAGGAGGGACAAAAGUCAAAGGACGGAUUGCGUCAUCAUACGGGCGCCGAGGAGGGACAAAACUCAAGUGAUUGCGCACCCACGGCUGCAGACAAUUAAGUACACAUCGCCAAACAACUACGGUGGAGGAAGGCCCUGGAAACUACUCCUCAUUUUGCCGGGAUUACAGAAACAACCAGGCCAAGCGGUGGUGGGGUUCCCAGGAAGCAGCAGGAGGCAGCAUGCAGAUGGAGGCCAGGAGGCGGAGCAUGCAGCAGAGAGGAGAGGCGUGACAGACUCGGAGCGAUGCUGCAGCAAGAAUAAAAGGGGUGAAGGAGGCAGGAGUAGUAGGAGACAACCAGACGGAGGAACAGACGAGCGAGAACCACAGAGAGCCACAGAGCGACCGAGACGAGCACAUUCCAAUCACCCAGCGCUAGCAGAGAAGGAGGCACUGAAAAAAGCGACCGACUUACUGCCAACGACGUAUAUUUGAAAAAA